AGAACGAACGCUGGCGGCAGGCCUAACACAUGCAAGUCGAACGCGACCUUCGGGUCGAGUGGCGCACGGGUGAGUAACGCGUGGGAAUCUGCCCUGUGGUACGGAAUAACAUCGGGAAACUGGUGCUAAUACCGUAUAUCCCCUGAGGGGGAAAGAUUUAUCGCCAUGGGAGGAGCCCGCGUAGGAUUAGCUAGUUGGUGAGGUAAAGGCUCACCAAGGCGACGAUCCUUAGCUGGUCUGAGAGGAUGAUCAGCCACACUGGGACUGAGAUACGGCCCAGACUCCUACGGGAGGCAGCAGUGGGGAAUAUUGGACAAUGGGGGAAACCCUGAUCCAGCCAUGCCGCGUGUGUGAUGAAGGCCUUCGGGUUGUAAAGCACUUUCGCACGUGACGAUGAUGACGGUAACGUGAGAAGAAGCCCCGGCUAACUUCGCGCCAGCAGCCGC
Molecule: ribosomal RNA, 446 nt
Filed under: uncultured bacterium
Lineage: Bacteria
Description: SSU rRNA
Rfam family: Bacterial small subunit ribosomal RNA
Source: RNAcentral